This is a non-coding RNA of Phrynosoma platyrhinos (Desert horned lizard), 72 nucleotides long. The record is from the annotation of a GenBank genome assembly. NCBI's taxonomy places the organism in Eukaryota, Metazoa, Chordata, Lepidosauria, Squamata, Phrynosomatidae.
GCCAGGGUGUCACAGUGGUUUGAGGGUUGGACUCCGACUCUGGAGACCAGGGUUCGAUUCCCAGCUCAGCCC